RNA transcript from Cercocebus atys (sooty mangabey), 2809 nucleotides. It is a transcript of the gene named basic proline-rich protein-like, with no coding region annotated. The record is from RefSeq and is a predicted model, not a curated record. The transcript has 2 exons. NCBI's taxonomy places the organism in Eukaryota, Metazoa, Chordata, Mammalia, Primates, Cercopithecidae.
GGCAACAGAGCAAGACUCUGUCUCAAAAAACAAAAAAAAACAAACAAACAGCAACAAAAAAACUCAUUACUGUCUUGGGUAUCCAAAACCCCAUUUCCGCCUUUUUUAACUGCCAUAGAAAACAUUGCGCUUCCCUCCUUUAUGCAGGUCCGAUGCAGACCACAGGUGCUCAGAUGGCGGGCAAGCCUGCCUUCCAUGCUCCCUCCACCAUCGUCCUCCUCGGGGAGCUAAGACAGCUGCUUGGGCUGGAUAACAACCCAAGAAGUGGACACCUAGCACUCUGCUGGUGCACACAGUGAGGUGACUGGGCCCAUCUCCAGGCUGGAGUGAAGUCUGUCAUGCUGUGGGUGGAAGCCAAGGCGAUGUGAGUGAAGAGCUGGGAAGCAGAAGCAGGCUCACCUUGGAGUCAGAACAAAGCUACUAAUGUGGGAAGGGAAAACCUUAAGUUAAAAAACACAACGCAGAGGUUUUCAUCCCAGCCUGAAGACUAAAGAUUUUGGGUCAAGAAGCCAAAGAGGAACUCAGAAGCCACAAACAGAGACCCAGGUUCAACCCCUACCAGGGUCUUUCUGACUGCCUUUCCCUGGCGCUGGCUCUGCUGUGAGUCUCUCCACCAAGCCGGGGGGACACCCUACUGAGGGGAACAUCAGCACCCAGGGGGACACCUGCGGCAGGGGGACACCUGCACCAGGGAGGCACCUCUGCCGGGCAGGCACCUCCAGCGGGAGGGACACGUCACCGGGGGGAUGCCUGCGUCGAGGGGAACACCUGUGCUGGGGGGCACCUCACGGAGGGGACACCUCCGCUGGAGGGACACGUGCACCUUGGAGGACACCUGCACCAGGAAAGACAUUUGUGCCCGGAGGGACACUGCUCCAAGCAGGGACACCUGGUCCGAGAGGGGACACCUGCGCCAGGAAGGACAACUGCGCCUGGGGGUGCGGAUACCGUCAAGCGGACACCUGUACCAGGAAGGAUACUUGUGCCUGGGGGGACACCUGUGCCUGAGGGGACACCUGCACCUUGGAGGACACCUGCGCCAGGAAGGACACUUGUGCCUGGAGGGACACCUGCCCCAAGGAGGGACACCUGCUCCGAAGGGGGGACACCUGCGCCUGGUGCGGGGGAGACACCGUCAAGGAGAAACCUGCACCAGGAAGGACACUUGUGCCUGGGGGGACACAUGUGCCUAGGGGACACCUGCGCCUGGGGGGACACAUGUGCCGGGGAGGACACCUGCGCCGAGGGAACACCUGCGCCGAGGACACUCGCACGAGCGGGAUACUCCACGGGACCCUGAACGGCCUCCCUGCCCUCCAGGUCCCGGUCCGGCCUCCCCCUACGCGCCCCCGCGGAAGCCAGAGACAGGGAGAGCAAGGAUGAAACACGGCGACCACCGCCCAGGGACCCGCGGGCCGUCAGGACCUGCUGCCGACUCACCCUCUAAGCCUACGCCGCCGCCUCAGCCGCCGCCUCCGGAGUCCCGGAAGUGGACAGCGAACGGGUACUUCCGCUUCCGGCAACGGUGCCGGAAGCAUGGGUCCGGCCCUCCGGGCGGGGCGGGUACCCGUCUCUUGGCCGAGCGACUUCAGCUCGGGGACGUGCCCCGUGGCCGCUCCCCAGCAGGACAUGGUAACUGCCGGGGUGGGGGUCUCCUUGCCCGUCCCAGCCCCCCCAACUCAGGCCCUCCGGCGACCCCCGCGUGCGCCCUUCCCCAGGGCCGGCGCAGUCUUGGAAGCCUCCGCCCAGCGUGGCUGCCUGCGUUUUCUCUCCGUUCCCUUCCCGACCUCCGGAGAGAAGACAGCCCCAGAGCCGCUGUGGCUCCGUCCUCCGCUGACGCCUCAUGUCUUUAUGUUGGCCUUGCCGUCCGCACUGCAGUGUGGCAGGGGCGUCCCGCCUUUGCCGCGGACUGAGGUGGGCGCCGAGCAUUCAGCAAACGAGGAAACGAAAGCGGGGGAAGUUGGGAAUCAAGCGUCUGUCUGCCUGCCACCAGCAGACAAGCGGCUUUGGGCACCCCUUGGACCCAAACACGAACUCAGCCCCUGCAGGAGCGCAGUCAUCGGCACCCACGUGGGAACAAUGCCCUGGGAUGGGUGGCCACGGGAUGUUUCUGGGGCCCCUCAGAGGCCCAGCGGCGCGGGUCUUGGAGAAUGAAUGUGUGUCGCUGGGCCGCUGCUGCAGAGGGCCGGUCCUGAGUCGCUGCUUGGAAGAGAGGCCCAUGGCCAGCACUUGGCUUCACCAGGAGGAAAAAGCACGUGUUAAACCACCAGCAUUCGGGGUUUGUCUGUUUGAUAAAGGAUGCACCAACUAACAAGAAAGUCCUUCAUAGGUUGCAGCUGCUAGGUUGUGCCCCUGGCCCCUCCUGAAAAUCGGCCACACAAAAGGAAGGGUCUGGAAGGUGGCAGAGAAGCCUGCAGAGACAAGGAAAGUGGCAGCAGCAUGGGGCGGGGUCACACAGGAUGGAGAUGGAGCUGUGGGAGCCCCCGCUGCCACUCCCACAAGGAGCGCAGCCCCGUGCCCUGCUGAUGCUAACACCCCGGCUCUGUUAUUUCAGUUUUUCCUUGUAAUUUCUGAAAAUCUAGCAACAAGUUGAGCAAUGAAAAAAAUUUUUUAAAAACAGUUAAAAUUAUGUUAGAAAUUAUGACUAAUUUUGAAACUAAUGAAGGAAAAAAAAUGGCCUUUUAAAAAUUACCAAAGCUUUUAGGACUCUUCAAAAUAUAGUAACAUUGAGUAUUAUGAACUAAAGACUCAUACUGUUAUUCAGUGUCUGGUAGUGAAUUUGGAUGGACUGUCUAGUAACUUCUUAACA